AGCUCGCGGCAGCCCGCGGUCCGUCUCGCACGCGCGGGCACCGCGCUGGUCCCAGGCUGCAGGUUUCCCAGACGAUGGCAUCCGAGAACUUAAACAAAGGGGGCCGCCGCCGGCGCGAAGCGGCUGAGGAAAGUUGCGGUGGCGGAUUUCCAAGGAGCGUGGCCGCUACCCGAGCUCUGGGCGCCGCGAGCUCCCCCUUCCCACCCCCGCCGAGGCAGGGACGGGGGCCGUCUGGCGAAGGAACAAGGAAACUUUGAAACCACUGGGGACACAUCUGCCUAUAGACCUAUUGCGAUGCCCAGCGCCACGAAGGGAACACCAACGUCUCGGCCGGACACUAAGAACCUCUGCUGGGAAAAAAAUAAAACACCAACCCCAACCGUCAGCAGCAAGGUAACAGAGAAACUCAACCUCGUUUUUCUCCUGUUCAAUUUUUUUCCUUGUUAUAUUUGUUUCCUAAUUUCUGCCCAAAAGGAAAGAUGUCGCAUCAGGCUGUGACUGUUGCGAGGAGAAUGAAAAAGGACUCUUGUUUCAGAGGCAGCCAAGAGCUCCAGCAAUAGCAACUUCAGAGAAAUGCACCAUCGAAAGAAGUUUUCCUAGGACACAACAAAACUUGAAAGGAGAGGACCAGAGGGGGAGAGAGCAGGAGCCAGCCUCUCCUCUCGGCACGCGAGCAGCCAGCAUCACCACGCCUUCAAGGACGGGAAAAGUUUUUCCUACUCUGAGGGGAGCCCAGUGAGCUGCGUUCCUGGGGAGGAGGCACGGAGCGGCCAGCCGCUGGUCGUCCACGGUUUGGUUAAGAAGAAAGGAGCGGCUUCUUUCUUUGUGUUUCCCGUGAAAUCUCCACUUAGCAGGUGGACCGAGCCCCGGGCCCGGGCCGAGUCCGCGCUUGGCCGCGGACAGGAGGAGGAGGAGCGCGAGCCAGCGCGCCCGGCCCGGGAGCCCCAGCGCAGGCCCGCGCCCCGCCCGGCGAGCCCCGCUGGAGCGAGCCGAUCGCGCCGGGGCUGGGGGGCGGCCACGACCCCCCCUGAGGGGGGCGGCCACGGAGCGCGCCCCGAGAAGCGAGACCCCCCUCCCCAGAGCGCGGCUCCUGCUGCGGCUGCUGCUGCUGCUGCUGCUGACCAAGGCCGGCC
Long non-coding RNA from Camelus dromedarius (Arabian camel), 1133 nucleotides. RefSeq lists it as uncharacterized. NCBI's taxonomy places the organism in Eukaryota, Metazoa, Chordata, Mammalia, Artiodactyla, Camelidae. The record is from RefSeq and is a predicted model, not a curated record. The transcript has 3 exons.